AUGAAUCUUGAUGAAACGGAGUUUGUAGAUAUUGAUGAUGAAAUUAAUGAAAGUGGGAUUGAAAGAAAUAAAAACCUAGAUGUUGCUAAACCCACUAUUUUGGAUCUCAAGGAAUUUGAUUUUGAAAAUUGCUCUUUGAUUGGUUGUAUUUCCUUGUUGCAAUCCGUGCUAGAUUCUCCUCAUGCUUAUAGUCAAAAUAAGGCCUUUACCAAACACAUUGUUGAUGCCUUGAUGCAAUCUUAUGAAGAAAAACUUGAGUUGAAAGUUUCUAUCCCUAGAAAACUCUAUGAUGAGUGGGAACCUACUAUUAAAAUUCAAAUUAAAGAUUAUGAGUUUCAUGCUUUGUGUGAUUUGGGUGCUAGUGUCUGUACUAUUCCCAAAACUUUAUGUGAUUUGCUAGAUUUCCGUCAUUUUGAUGAUUGCUCUCUAAACUUGCAUCUUGCCCAUUCGACUAUUAAAAACCCUAUGGGAAGAAUUAAUGAUGUUCUUAUUGUUUCAAAUAGGAAUUAUGUUCCCGUAUAUUUUAUCGUUCUUGAUAUAGAUUGCAAUCCUUCAUGUCCUAUUAUUCUUGGUAGACCUUUCCUUACAACGAUUGGCGCAAUUAUUGAUAUGAAGGAAGGAAAUAUUAGAUUCCAAUUUCCCUUGAAUAAGGGUAUGGAACACUUCCCUAGAAAUAAAAUAAAAUUACCAUAUGAGUCUAUCAUGAGAGCCACUUAUGGAUUGCCUACCAAAGAUGGCAAUACCUAG
Molecule: ribosomal RNA, 747 nt
Filed under: Triticum aestivum (bread wheat)
Lineage: Eukaryota; Viridiplantae; Streptophyta; Magnoliopsida; Poales; Poaceae
Description: partial small subunit ribosomal RNA
Source: RNAcentral